AACGAACGCUGGCGGCAUGCUUAACACAUGCAAGUCGAACGGAUUAUAUGCUUCGGUAUAUAGUUAGUGGCAGACGGGUGAGUAACGCGUGGGAACGUACCGUAUGGUUCGGAAUAACUAAGGGAAACUUUAGCUAAUACCGGAUAAGCCCUUCGGGGGAAAGAUUUAUCGCCAAACGAGCGGCCCGCGUUAGAUUAGGUAGUUGGUGGGGUAAGGCUCACCAAGCCGACGAUCUAUAGCUGGUCUGAGAGGAUGUUCAGCCACACUGGGACUGAGACACGGCCCAAACUCCUACGGGAGGCAACAGUGGGGAAUAUUGGACAAUGGGGGCAACCCUGAUCCAGCAAUGCCGCGUGAGUGAAGAAGGCCUUCGGGUUGUAAAGCUCUUUUAUCAGGGAA
RNAcentral lists this ribosomal RNA (399 nucleotides) under uncultured bacterium. RNAcentral describes it as "bacterial SSU rRNA". It matches the Rfam family "Bacterial small subunit ribosomal RNA", at positions 29 to 446 of the family's 1533-position model. The record is from RNAcentral.